CGGGGCGUAGCGCAGCUGGUAGCGCGUCCACCUUUGGUGGAAGGUCGGUGGUCCGAAUCCACUCGCCCCGACCG
RNAcentral lists this transfer RNA (74 nucleotides) under Candidatus Yonathbacteria bacterium RIFOXYC2_FULL_47_9. RNAcentral describes it as "tRNA-Lys". The record is from RNAcentral. RNAcentral also lists the same sequence under 1 other name. Lineage: Bacteria; Candidatus Yonathiibacteriota.